CUUUCAGCUGCAUCCGAGCAGAACCCCUAGGCAUAAGGUCAGAAUUGGACCCAUGUAUGCGCUGCACACGUGGCCAGGAAGCCAUCCUUUGCAAAUCUGUUCAAGUCCUUUGGAGGAGCCUUUGAGCAUGUUCUGCUCCUCUCCUUGCUGGAACUGGCCGUUAAGAGUUAUCCAAGGAUGGGCUAACAGCUAAAGAAGAGAUGCCUAUUACAGAAAAGCCAGUGCAUCACUCAGCAGAUGUAGCCGGGUCUACAGACCUGUCACAAGGAAGAGAUAUUUUGAGCAGGCGAAAAGGAGAGAGAGAUAUGAUAAGGCAAAACAGAACUAUUACCAGUAAAGAUGUGUGGCACCCCCACCCAUUUUCAAAAGGGAAGACUGGUGAUUAAAAUAAUUCAGGGCUCUUGCAGCUGGAUGCAGUCUUCUGUAUCUGUUCCAGGAUGUACUUACAAACUCUGCAUGUCAUCUGGACCUGCAGCGCAAGCACUGGAAUGGUCUCUGUAUGAAGCAGUACUGAGUGUUUGUGCAUGCAGAAUUAUUUUUC
Chroicocephalus ridibundus (black-headed gull) is the source of this 541-nucleotide long non-coding RNA. RefSeq lists it as uncharacterized. The transcript has 5 exons. Lineage: Eukaryota; Metazoa; Chordata; Aves; Charadriiformes; Laridae. The record is from RefSeq and is a predicted model, not a curated record.